GUGGGGAAUAUUGGACAAUGGGCGAAAGCCUGAUCCAGCCAUGCCGCGUGUGUGAAGAAGGUCUUCGGAUUGUAAAGCACUUUAAGUUGGGAGGAAGGGCAGUAAGUUAAUACCUUGCUGUUUUGACGUUACCGACAGAAUAAGCACCGGCUAACUUCGUGCCAGCAGCCGCGGUAAUACGAAGGGUGCAAGCGUUAAUCGGAAUUACUGGGCGUACAGCGCGCGUAGGUGGUUUUGUAAGUUGGAGGUGAAAUCCCCGGGCUCAACCUGGGAACUGCCUCCAAAACUGCAUGACUAGAGUACGGUAGAGGGUAGUGGAAUUUCCUGUGUAGCGGUGAAAUGCGUAGAUAUAGGAAGGAACACCAGUGGCGAAGGCGACUACCUGGACUGAUACUGACACUGAGGUGCGAAAGCGUGGGGAGCAAACAGGAUUAGAAACCCGUGUAGUCC
This 450-nucleotide ribosomal RNA is filed under the name uncultured bacterium. Its description in RNAcentral is "partial 16S ribosomal RNA". It matches the Rfam family "Bacterial small subunit ribosomal RNA", at positions 354 to 796 of the family's 1533-position model. The record is from RNAcentral.